Xenopus laevis (African clawed frog) is the source of this 526-nucleotide long non-coding RNA. RefSeq lists it as uncharacterized. Lineage: Eukaryota; Metazoa; Chordata; Amphibia; Anura; Pipidae. The transcript has 4 exons. The record is from RefSeq and is a predicted model, not a curated record.
UGGCAGCUCUCUCUUCCUCAAUAGCAGCUGCUAUAUCUGGGUUGUCUUCCCCAUUGUACCACACUAAGAGCUCUUCCCCUGGCUCAAUUGGCUGAAAGAAUUGGAGAGACAAGUAAAACACCAAUCAGAGCUCUUCUUCUGUGUAGCACACAUCUCCAUUAACUGGAGAGAAAAUUCUUGUAAGAUCAGCGCGAUGUGAGAGAAUUGGCAUUAGAAGUACCGGUAAACACAAUAAGUUGCAGGUUGGAAGACUGCAACAUACAAUUGUUUAUCAGACAUGAGGAAAAAAUCUGCACGUCUAUGACCAACUUAAGUGCAAGUUUGAAGAGGAAACCACAGAAAAAUUACAACUGAAGACCACUGUGUUAUAAACCAUCUCAUGAACACACAACUACAAAUGCAGAACAUCAGUUGAAGUGGAUUUUAAUAAACUUUUGAUAACCGGUCAUUUUUUCAUUGGAAAAAAAAUCUAUUUAAGUGAUUAGAUCCUAGAACUUGCAUCUGAAAACCACACUGCUUACCAAGU